Molecule: unclassified non-coding RNA, 315 nt
Filed under: Hevea brasiliensis (rubber tree)
Lineage: Eukaryota; Viridiplantae; Streptophyta; Magnoliopsida; Malpighiales; Euphorbiaceae
Source: RNAcentral
AGAAAAUUAUAAAUGGGAUGGGGGUCUUGUGAGGAACGAAUACCUUUGCAAAGGGCAAUGGAAGGAGAGGAGAUACUACAUUUGUUGAAGGCAUGACUAGAGUAGGUGAUGGAGGAACAAGUGAUUAGUCAUCUGGAAUAGCCAGUAUACUUGUAUCAUCAUGAAGAGAAGUAUUAUUGGAGUUAGCAGGGGGAUGAGGACGAUGGAAUUAUAUGUGGAGAGGCGGACCAGGAAUACUGACUUGUGGAAAAGAAGAAGAAUAGGUAAAACUUAAAAAAUAGGCCUUUUAUUUUCUGUGUUUGGUGUAAAAUAUAG